CUGACGGAACUCUUCGGAGGGAAGGCAGCGGAAUGAGCGGCGGACGGGUGAGUAAAACGUAAGGAACCUGCCUCAAGGAUUGGGAUAACUCCGAGAAAUCGGAGCUAAUACCGGAUAGUUCAUCGGACGGCAUGGUCCGNUGAUGAAAGGCGCUUCGGCGUCACCUUGAGAUGGCCUUGCGGUGCAUUAGCUAGUUGGUGGGGUAACGGCCCACCAAGGCGACGAUGCAUAGCCGACCUGAGAGGGUGAUCGGCCACACUGGGACUGAGACACGGCCCAGACUCCUACGGGAGGCAGCAGUAGGGAAUCUUCCACAAUGGACGAAAGUCUGAUGGAGCAACGCCGCGUGAGUGAUGAAGGUUUUCGGAUCGUAAAACUCUGUUGUAAGGGAAGAACACGUACGAGAGGAAAUGCUCGUACCUUGACGGUA
Molecule: ribosomal RNA, 430 nt
Filed under: uncultured bacterium
Lineage: Bacteria
Description: bacterial SSU rRNA
Rfam family: Bacterial small subunit ribosomal RNA
Source: RNAcentral